UGGCUCAGGACGAACGCUGGCGGCGUGCCUAAUACAUGCAAGUCGAGCGGACAGAUGGGAGCUUGCUCCCUGAUGUUAGCGGCGGACGGGUGAGUAACACGUGGGUAACCUGCCUGUAAGACUGGGAUAACUCCGGGAAACCGGGGCUAAUACCGGAUGGUUGUUUGAACCGCAUGGUUCAAACAUAAAAGGUGGCUUCGGCUACCACUUACAGAUGGACCCGCGGCGCAUUAGCUAGUUGGUGAGGUAACGGCUCACCAAGGCAACGAUGCGUAGCCGACCUGAGAGGGUGAUCGGCCACACUGGGACUGAGACACGGCCCAGACUCCUACGGGAGGCAGCAGUAGGGAAUCUUCCGCAAUGGACGAAAGUCUGACGGAGCAACGCCGCGUGAGUGAUGAAGGUUUUCGGAUCGUAAAGCUCUGUUGUUAGGGAAGAACAAGUACCGUUCGAAUAGGGCGGUACCUUGACGGUACCUAACCAGAAAGCCACGGCUAACUACGUGCCAGCAGCCGCGGUAAUACGUAGGUGGCAAGCGUUGUCCGGAAUUAUUGGGCGUAAAGGGCUCGCAGGCGGUUUCUUAAGUCUGAUGUGAAAGCCCCCGGCUCAACCGGGGAGGGUCAUUGGAAACUGGGGAACUUGAGUGCAGAAGAGGAGAGUGGAAUUCCACGUGUAGCGGUGAAAUGCGUAGAGAUGUGGAGGAACACCAGUGGCGAAGGCGACUCUCUGGUCUGUAACUGACGCUGAGGAGCGAAAGCGUGGGGAGCGAACAGGAUUAGAUACCCUGGUAGUCCACGCCGUAAACGAUG
This 809-nucleotide ribosomal RNA is filed under the name Bacillus sp. (in: firmicutes). RNAcentral describes it as "bacterial SSU rRNA". It matches the Rfam family "Bacterial small subunit ribosomal RNA", at positions 20 to 811 of the family's 1533-position model. The record is from RNAcentral. Lineage: Bacteria; Bacillati; Bacillota; Bacilli; Caryophanales; Bacillaceae.